AACGAACGCUGGCGGCAUGCCUAACACAUGCAAGUCGAACGCCCUCUUCGGAGGGAGUGGCGCACGGGUGCGUAACGCGUGGGAACCUGCCCUUAGGUUCGGAAUAACUCAGAGAAAUUUGAGCUAAUACCGGAUAAUGUCUUCGGACCAAAGAUUUAUCGCCUUUGGAUGGGCCCGCGUUGGAUUAGCUAGUUGGUGGGGUAAAGGCCUACCAAGGCGACGAUCUUUAGCUGGUCUGAGAGGAUGAUCAGCCACACUGGGACUGAGACACGGCCCAGACUCCUACGGGAGGCAGCAGUGGGGAAUAUUGGACAAUGGGCGAAAGCCUGAUCCAGCAGUGCCGCGUGAGUGAUGAAGGCCUUAGGGUUGUAAAGCUCUUUUACCCGAGAUGAUAAUGACAGUAUCGGGAGAAUAAGCACCGGCUAACUACGUGCCAGCAGCCGCGGUAAAGUGACUACUG
RNAcentral lists this ribosomal RNA (460 nucleotides) under uncultured bacterium. Its description in RNAcentral is "bacterial SSU rRNA". It matches the Rfam family "Bacterial small subunit ribosomal RNA", at positions 29 to 534 of the family's 1533-position model. The record is from RNAcentral.